Molecule: ribosomal RNA, 373 nt
Filed under: uncultured prokaryote
Description: partial 16S ribosomal RNA
Source: RNAcentral
CCCUAUGGGGCGCAGCCGCACUGUACCGAUGGUUGACAAGAAAUCUCACCUUCGAUGACGGUACUAAAGCAUCCUUUGAAGGCCAGGGCGGUCAGGUCUGGGGUUAUUUUGCCCUCUCCGUGCUACUGGGGUAUGUCCCUCUAUUGUUUAGAACAGCUGAAAAUGCCGAGACUAUAUCCUACAUUUCUCUUGGCUUUUCCAUUCUCAUUCUUCCGAUCAGUGCUGCUAUCGGAAUAAGAAUCAUGCGUUGGCUCUUUGCGAAUAUAAAAUUCACUGAUGGUACAAAUCUCAAUUUUAAAGGGAGUUAUGCCCCCUACCUGGGAUGGCUUCUAUUGAACAGUCUUUCAGUAUUCACCAUCAUUGGCGGGAGAGC